UACGUAGGUGGCAAGCGUUGUCCGGAUUUACUGGGCGUAAAGAGCGCGCAGGCGGUCGUUCAAGUCGCGUGUGAAAGCCCCCGGCUCAACUGGGGAGGGUCACGCGAUACUGAUCGACUCGAAGGCAGGAGAGGGUAGUGGAAUUCCCGGUGUAGUGGUGAAAUGCGUAGAUAUCGGGAGGAACACCAGUGGCGAAGGCGACUACCUGGCCUGUUCUUGACGCUGAGAAGCGAAAGCGUGGGGAGCAAACAGG
This 253-nucleotide ribosomal RNA is filed under the name uncultured bacterium. RNAcentral's name for it is "partial 16S ribosomal RNA". It matches the Rfam family "Bacterial small subunit ribosomal RNA", at positions 524 to 776 of the family's 1533-position model. The record is from RNAcentral.